ACUGCCGUUUUUGAAUAUCCACACGAGCAAGUGGAGUAGGGGAGUUGCACCUUAUGGCUUGACACUAAAAGUUAGAGCAGUUGUGAUGCCAAUCCACGACCUAAAUAUGUACAUAUGAAGGGUUAGUUAAUGGUCUCGCCUAAUAGAUGAAGAAUUUUAAUGUAAUUGUUUGGAUGCCGCAAUACAAAUAUGUACAUAUAAAGGCCCAGCGAAUUAACAACAAAAACAACAACAACAAAUUUUGUGUUUAAAACUUACAGUACUCAAUUAAAAGAAAACGAUUUUGUGGAAGGAUCUUUAAAUAUAUUGGAAGAGUAUGUUUGUGAAACUAUUGUAAAACUCAGUGGAUAUAUAUAUAUUUAUAUAUCCUUUCAUUAAAUGUAGUAAUGAAGACAACACAACAACACAAGCAUAUCGACACAAACUGAUAAUUCACUAGAUUUUCACCAGCUCAAAUGCGUUGAGCUACAAAAUGAAGUUAGUGUGCUUCAGCAAAAAGUUGUAGAUUUUGAGCUCAAAAUUUCAAUUUUUGAAAAGGGUAAGAGCUUUCUAACCCAAACUCAACAAAAGUUGUUUGAGUUAAGCAGUUUAAAGCCACCACGUUAUAACCUGGAUGACAUAUCGUCAGCUACUUGCCUAUAUUCUGCUGGGCCACGUUGUUACAGACUGCUGCGGAAACUUGAAUUUCCUUUGCCGUCACCUUCUACUCUGCGUAGGUGGGCAUCCAAGUUAUGCAUUGAGCCUGGUCUGCAAACACAAAUCUUCGCGCACAUGAAAACGUUCGAUAUGCCGUUGGAAAAUAAAUUAUGCAUUCUUUCAUUAGACGAAAUGUAGUGCAGGGAGGAAUAGGCGUAUGACCGGAAAGCAGACAUAAUUCUCCAGCCGAAAAGGGUGGUCCAAGUAGCGAUGGUUCGUGGACUGUGUGGAAACUGGAAGCAGCCCAUUUUCUACAAUUUCAAUUUUAAAAUGACAGAAGAUGUCUUAUUGCAAAUAAUAACUUCUCUAUACGAAAUUGGUUUUACGGUUGUUACGGCUGUCAGCGACCUUGGACGGGAUAAUCAGCAGCUCUGGCGGUCUAUGAACAUUUCCACUCAAAUCUUUUUAUUAAGCAUCCAUAUGAUGAUAGCAAAUUUGUAUCUGUUUUCGCUGAUAUACCGCAUCUUAUUAAGCUGUUACGUAACCAC
Molecule: long non-coding RNA, 1184 nt
Organism: Rhagoletis zephyria (snowberry fruit fly)
Lineage: Eukaryota; Metazoa; Arthropoda; Insecta; Diptera; Tephritidae
Source: RefSeq, a predicted model, not a curated record